Molecule: transfer RNA, 64 nt
Filed under: Scaliola sp.
Lineage: Eukaryota; Metazoa; Mollusca; Gastropoda; Scaliolidae
Description: tRNA-Thr
Rfam family: tRNA
About the family: Transfer RNA (tRNA) molecules are approximately 80 nucleotides in length. Their secondary structure includes four short double-helical elements and three loops (D, anti-codon, and T loops).
Source: RNAcentral
GUAAAUAUAGUUUAUAAAGAACAUCGGUCUUGUAAGUCGAAAGAAGGCUCUCGCCUUAUUUACU